Molecule: non-coding RNA, 75 nt
Organism: Myotis lucifugus (little brown bat)
Lineage: Eukaryota; Metazoa; Chordata; Mammalia; Chiroptera; Vespertilionidae
Source: Rfam
GGCGGUUCUUGGGUGACACACCCCAGAAUCGGGCUCCCUCCUCUCUGGUUCUGGGUGCAUCAUCUGAGAACAGCA